AGCGGUGAAAUCUGGACGCUUAACGUCCAAACUGCCGUUGAAACUGGGAGUCUUGAGUAUGGAUGAAGUAGGCGGAAUUCGUUGUGUAGCGGUGACAUGCAUAGAUAUAACGAGGAACUCCGAUUGCGUAGGCAGCUUACUAAGCCAUAACUGACGCUCAUGCACGAAAGCGUGGGGAUCAAACAGGAUUAGAUACCCUGGUAGUCCACGCCGUAAACGAUGAUUACUAGUUGUAUGCGAUAUGAUAGUAUGUGACUAAGCGAAAGCGAUAAGUAAUCCACCUGGGGAGUACGCCGGCAACGGUGAAACUCAAAGGAAUUGACGGGGGCCCGCACAAGCGGAGGAACAUGUGGUUUAAUUCGAUGAUACGCGAGGAACCUUACCCGGGCUUGAAAUGUACAUGAAUAACGUUGAAAGAUGUUAGCCAGCAAUGGCAUGUAUGUAGGUGCUGCAUGGUUGUCGUCAGCUCGUGCCGUGAGGUGUCGGCUUAAGUGCCAUAACGAGCGCAACCCACAUUAUUAGUUACUAACAGGUUAAGCUGAGGACUCUAAUAAGACUGCCGGCGUAAGCUGCGAGGAAGGUGUGGAUGACGUCAAAUCAGCACGGCCCUUACGUCCGGGGCGACACACGUGUUACAAUGGGUGGUACAAAGGGCAGCUACUUGGUGACAAGAUGCUAAUCUCCAAAGCCACUCCCAGUUCGGAUCGGAGUCUGCAACUCGACUCCGUGAAGCUGGAUUCGCUAGUAAUCGCGCAUCAGCCAUGGCGCGGUGAAUACGUUCCCGGGCCUUGUACACACCGCCCGUCAAGCCAUGGGAGCUGGGGGUAUCUGAAGUACGUAACCGCAAGGAGCGUCCUAGGGUAAAACCGGUGACUGGGGCUAAGUCGUAACAAGGUAACC
Molecule: ribosomal RNA, 900 nt
Filed under: uncultured Dysgonomonas sp.
Lineage: Bacteria; Pseudomonadati; Bacteroidota; Bacteroidia; Bacteroidales; Dysgonomonadaceae
Description: bacterial SSU rRNA
Rfam family: Bacterial small subunit ribosomal RNA
Source: RNAcentral